RNAcentral lists this long non-coding RNA (581 nucleotides) under Homo sapiens (human). RNAcentral's name for it is "HSALNT0350318". The record is from RNAcentral. Lineage: Eukaryota; Metazoa; Chordata; Mammalia; Primates; Hominidae.
AGUGAAUGGUCACAGAGCCAUGAGCAGGUGGAAGAUGCAGGUGGAGGCAUCUUCCCUGUCACCGUUGGUAUGUCUGGUUGAAACCUGCAACAAGGAAUCAGUCUUCAUGCAACUCUCAGCAACCUCUACUGAGAUCUCUGUUGAAGCAUUGUUUGCAAGAGCAGAUAAUCAGAAACCACCCAAAAAAUCAUAAAGAAGACAUUGGGCAAAUCAACAAUGGUAUGCUGAGAUUUGGAUUGCCAAAUUGACCUUGAAGUGAAGGAGGCAGAUUUGCUUGUAAUAACAAUGAAAGCGAUACAAGAUCUUCUAUUUGAAGUGCAGAAUGUCCCAUUCACCAUGAGACGCUGGUAAAUAAUGUUUUCAUUUUGUGCAGCAUGCCUCCAGUUGUGUAAAGAAUGUAAAAGGGAAAUGUCUCAAAACAGAAGAAGACGCCUGUGGGCAGCACCUUCUGCAGAGUGAUCCUGGGAGCUGGAAAGAAGACUCACUUUUCAUUUUACAACCUUGGGCACUGUAAGGAUAUUUUGGGCUUGGUAUGUGUGUUUUGUUGUUGUUGUUUUUUGUUUGUUUUAUUAUACUUUAAG